UUCUAAGAUCUUCCUUGAGAGACGACUUGGGUUAGCUUACACGUUACAAUAGAUCUCGUCCUAUUGCGAGUCGAUCUAGCGUAGUGUUUAGGUUGAGUCAAUUUUUGGCGCCGUUGCCGGGGAAGGUUUUAGGCGUUUUAGUUGUGUCGUUUUUUUUUUUUUCUUUUACUUACUUUAUUUAAAUUUCAGUUUUUUCUCAUUUUUGUUACUUUUCCUCCCACCGGUGCGUUUGAUCCGUUCGUUUAGUGUUGUGCAUGCAGGGAUGCCAUAGUCUUAAAGGCAAACUUGUGUCUCCGUUGCAC
RNAcentral lists this long non-coding RNA (302 nucleotides) under Salvia miltiorrhiza (redroot sage). RNAcentral's name for it is "long non-coding RNA (SMIL_LNC009227)". The record is from RNAcentral. Lineage: Eukaryota; Viridiplantae; Streptophyta; Magnoliopsida; Lamiales; Lamiaceae.